RNAcentral lists this transfer RNA (1871 nucleotides) under Sus scrofa (pig). Its description in RNAcentral is "lncRNA (ENSSSCG00000060914.1)". The record is from RNAcentral. Lineage: Eukaryota; Metazoa; Chordata; Mammalia; Artiodactyla; Suidae.
GGCAUUGUCACUGCAGUGGCUCAAGUUUGACCCCUGGCCUGGGAACUUGCACCUGCCAUGGGCGUGGCCAAAAAAUAAAAGAUUGAUCACUCUGUUCUGGUAUUGGCAACUGGAUCCAUCAAUGAAAAAGUUCUCCACUGAACUUCCUAAUGGUUUUACUAGCUACCAGUGAUCACUGUCUAGAUCCAUUAUUUUAUUUAGAGACUGAAUAAUAAUGUUUUAUCAUUUUUCUUUUAAUUUUUUUUUUUUUUUUGGCCACAGCGUACAGUGGCUUGAUGUGGGAUCUCAAUUCCCCAGACCAGGGGUUGAACCUGUGCUACAGUGGUGAAAGCACCAAAUCCUAACUGCUGGACCACCAGAGAACUCCUUCAGUUUUCCUUAUUAAUUAAAAUACCUGUAUAAAUAAAACUUUCCCUUACCAACAGUUUGGUUACUCUGCAAACUGCAGUUUGUUCAGGAAAAGAAGUACAAAUGCUUGAUUCUUUUCCUAUACUUUACCAGUUUUUAGAGUAAUGAGUUAACUCUUAACAUCCAGCAAAGGUGACAGUGUGAUCUUGAGUGAAGAAAACCAGACACUAAAGAGUACCUAAUUAAUGAUUCCAUUCAUGCAAAGUUCAAAACAGGAGAACUGAAAUGAUAGUGUUCCAGGCAGUUCCCGUUGUGGCCAGUGGAAACGAAUCCCGACUAGGAACCAUGAGGUUGCGGGUUCUAUCCCUGGCCUCGCUCUGUGGGGUUAAGGAUCUGUGUCGCUGUGAGCAGUGGUGUAGGUCACAGGUGUGGCUCGGAUCUGCUGUGGCUGUGGCAGGCAGCUGUAGCUCUGAUUGGACCCCUAACCUGGGAAUCUUCAUAUGGCAUGAGUGCAGCCCUAAAAAGCAAAAAAAAAAAAAAAAAAAAAGAAAAGAAAUGAUAGUGCUCCAGUAUGCAUGCAUUUUAAAUAUAUAUGAUAAAAAUAUGAAAUUAUAAAACAAGGCAAUAAUUGCCAUUAGUCAGGGUUUAUGAAGGUGUUUUGAUGUAGAAGGGAAACUCAGAAGGCUUCCAGAGUUCUGGCAAAGGUCUAUUUCUUGACUGAGGUAGUAGGUACAUGCAUAUUCACUUCAUAAUAAUUCCUCAAGCUGUACAUAUGUUUUAGGCAAUUUUUGCUACAUGUGUAUAUUUUAUACUAAAAAAAAGUUUUUGAAAAAUUCCAAACAACUGGGACUCUGGUUUAAUUACUUUUCUUUUGAAAACAAUUAAUACCUUCAGUCACUAGGAACUUUGAAAACUCUGCUCAAAUGAAUGGAUAGUCAAAAGGCAUCCUAGAAAAUCCAAUAUUUGCUCCCUUUAAAAACUGUAGGGUUGUUCUGUAAUUUGACAAAGAAUAUCUUACACUGAAUGCUAACCUCAUACUUAGUAAUUUCUCUAAAGAGGCAUAUUCCCAAGCAUUCUCACCAUCAGCAUUAUUAUAAUUGUUCUAGAUAGUGUGGCCAAAUAAAGUAUAGCUGACCAAAAAGAAUAUAACUACUAGACAAACUUAUCUUUGUCAGUGACUAGAGAACUAUAAGGCCUAGGAUGACAAACUGAAGAACUCCUUGAAUUAAUGCUAAACUCAUAACACAGUAGAUAGCCAUGAAAACCAGUUAGAGGAGGUAAUAGAAACAAUCAUAGUAAUAGUAAAAAAAAACACAAUAGCUUUUGUAUUAAGAUAAGUGUGCCCUUGGAGUUCCCAUGGUGGCUCAGUGGUAAUGAACCUGACUAGUAUUCAUAAGGAUGUGGGUUUGAUCCCUGGCCUCACUCAGUGGGUUAAGGAUCUAGUGUGGCUGUGGCAUAGGCCGGCAGCUCCCGCUCCAAUUUGAUUCCUAGCCUGGGAACUUGCAUAUGCCACAGGUGCAGCC